This 221-nucleotide ribosomal RNA is filed under the name uncultured bacterium. RNAcentral describes it as "partial 16S ribosomal RNA". It matches the Rfam family "Bacterial small subunit ribosomal RNA", at positions 129 to 334 of the family's 1533-position model. The record is from RNAcentral.
CCCCAGAGUCUGGAAUAAACCGGCCGAAAGGCUGGCUAAUACUGGAUAGAGCGAUGGAAUCCGUAAAUGGGUUUUUCGGGAAAGGGAGCUCGCAAGAGCCUUCGCUUUGGGAUGAGCCUGCGUCUCAUUAGCUAGUUGGUGAGGUAACGGCUCACCAAGGCUUUGAUGGGUAGCUGGUCUGAGAGGAUGAUCAGCCACACUGGAACUGAAACACGGUCCAG